UUCCAAAGCGCUAUUGUGUCAGACUCAUCUCCCGCUGAAGAGGAUCCAGCGACAUCAAGAGAUUACGGAAAAUCACGCGAGAUAACUGGCUUGCACCUUGUUGGGUUUUUUCAAGGGCAGAGGGGAGAUUCCUGGCGUGCAUCUACUUAAUUUGAAGAAGGUAAGAGUCAAACUAUUUUCAUCUAAAUCCAUAUAAAAAUAUGUAACUUAAAAUUUCUCUACCAUUUGCACCAUUUUCUACUUGUUCCAUACUUGUGUCACAUUAUUUCAUGUUCUGUAGAUUAAGUCGGUUAGGUUAAGGCAGAUAGCUUUUUGUUUACAUUUAUCGCCGCACCAUGUUAGGUACAUUCUGUGCGAAAAAACUCUGCAGAGCCAUAUGUAGUGUAAGGGUCACAAAGCUGCUGCCAGAGACACAAAUGGACCCCAGAAAUGUCACAGUUUUGCUCCUCCUGAGCUCCCUGGAGGUUUAGUGGAUUUUUAACACACUGAUCUAACAUCAGUCUAUUUCUAACUAUUUUAAUUCUAUUUCAGUAAUGUUACUAUGGAGGUAAAUGUAGAUACACACACACACUUUGGUACCUUUCUAUCAUCAUCGAGAUUCUUAAUUAAUUAUGGUAAUAAAAAGUCCUACAUUUCAGUCGGUGAAACCUGCAGAAAGCAUUGCUUUCUGAGCUUUGUUAAAUGUUCCUAAAAUACCUGUUAGUUAUGGAUUUCUAGUAUAUUUUGUCAGGCUAAAACUCUCAAUGGAUUUAUCCAUUAUUACAGACUUGAGCUUUCUAUUUUUUUUCUUUAAAAUACAUAUUCCUCUGCUGUAAAGAUGUUGGGGUUUUUUGGACUCUUCUUUGUUGUCCCCAAAUAAUUGUAGCUCAGAAACAAUAUUGAAGUUCAUUGGUUUAAUUUUGAAAUGUUGAUGUUUUUUGUGUUGAUUGUUUGUGCUCAUUUUGACCUAUGUUACUAUUGCUUUCUACCAUGUUCAAUUCACCAUUGUUCUGCACAUAUGUGCUUGCAUACAAGUGUCCAGUGGUUAUAUUCAUGAGGCAUUCAAGGGACUUGUACUAAAAGAUACAACUCAGUUCAGUAUGAAUUGCAUAUUUUAAUGGCUGAAAAUAUAUCUGAUCUCUUUCAGAACAUCACCUGUCUGUAAUCCACCGGCGUAAGUACUGGUCAAGGGGCUCAUCGGCUAUCAAGUUAUAGAUUUCAGUGGCUAAUAGAAGACACUGCUGAGGUCAGACGAGAGUGCAUCCUCAAAUGUCUGUGUGUACCUAAAUGAAGAUCCAAAGAAGCUGGUGAGGGAGUACAUGGACGUUGAUGAAUGAAAUGGCCAAAGCCGAGACUGUCCUCGGAAUCGUCAUUUGAGCAGAGGCUGCCGAUGCACAUCUGGAUGUUGGGAUUGUCCUGGAGGAGGUGGAAGUUAUGAACAGCUUGGGCAGUGUAUCUUCUGCAAUAGUGAUGCUGCUGGGACUAAUCUACGCACUAAACUUGAGCUACCCUCAAGUUUAGUGCGUUCAGCACUCAACUUGCUCAGUAACUCAAGCAUACCUUUGAAGUAAUACAGAAAAUAAUAAUGAAAUUGGAUGGAAAGAACUUAUCAAAGAAAGCACAAGUUCUCAAUAUGAAACUCGCUGCUAAGUUGAGUAAAGUUUCAUAUGGAAAAUGAGUGUUUAAAGUCUGCAGUAGAAAAGAUUUAUAUUGUUACAGUUCUCUAAGUUGAGCAACUAUACUGACAUGUUUUAUGUUGUAAAGAAUUGGCUGGGAAAUGAAACUGUAACCUUUUUGUAGUUGUUUUUUUAUUUCAAUGUCCAACUCAGCUGUGUUUUGUGCUGUGUAAAAAAACGAUGUAUAACAAAAUACAAUUGUGUUGUACCUUUUCUAAUUGUUGAGUGUUCUUCCUACACUUUCACCUAGUGCUAUCUUAAAAUGCUUGAUUAACGCUUGAAAAUAUGUCUUUGAAUUAACGUCAUGAAAUAAUGGAAAGGAUUUUCACACGAUUAACUAGCUGUCUUUUAGCAUGAAGCAUAUUUGUUGAGCUAACUUGCUUUUAGUGAGUUGGACCUACUGAAUCAGGUAGUGUGAAGGUACCACUGUAAAAUAAGGUGGUUUCAACUAGAUUUACAUUCAUCUUAAUGAAGUUACAUCAAUGAUUUGGUCCUAAACAUUGCAGAUUAGUUGGGCGGGCUGUAUUGCAUUACACUGGGUCACGCUAUAGUAACUGAGUUAAAGGAACCUUUAAAACAUAUGUUGAGCCAACACAUUUCAUUUGAAUUUGAAUAACCUUAAUGAAUGGAGUUGAGCCAACUCAUUUGAUUUACAAUCAUCCAUUGCCUUACCAUAAUUCUGGUUAAGCCAACAUAUUUGGUUUAAAUUAGAACAACCUUAAUGAAUUAUGUUUUGCCAACUCAUUUUAUUUAUAUAAGAAUAACCACAAUAUAUUACGUUGAGCCAACAUGUUUGAUUUAGAAUCACCCAUUGAAUCACCAUUGUAACAAGUGGAGCCAACACAUUUGCUUUACAUUGGAAUAAUCUUAAUAAAUUAGGUUGACCUAACACAUUUGCAUUAAAUAGGAGUAACACAAGUACAUGGUGCUGAAAUAAAGCAAAGUAAUCAG
Molecule: long non-coding RNA, 2606 nt
Organism: Poeciliopsis prolifica (blackstripe livebearer)
Lineage: Eukaryota; Metazoa; Chordata; Actinopteri; Cyprinodontiformes; Poeciliidae
Exons: 3
Source: RefSeq, a predicted model, not a curated record